This 254-nucleotide ribosomal RNA is filed under the name uncultured bacterium. RNAcentral's name for it is "partial 16S ribosomal RNA". It matches the Rfam family "Bacterial small subunit ribosomal RNA", at positions 524 to 777 of the family's 1533-position model. The record is from RNAcentral.
UACGGGGGGGGCAAGCGUUGUUCGGAAUUACUGGGCGUAAAGGGCUCGUAGGCGGCCAACUAAGUCAGACGUGAAAUCCCUCGGCUUAACCGGGGAACUGCGUCUGAUACUGGAUGGCUAGAGUUUGGGAGAGGGAUGCGGAAUUCCAGGUGUAGCGGUGAAAUGCGUAGAUAUCUGGAGGAACACCGGUGGCGAAGGCGGCAUCCUGGACCAACACUGACGCUGAGGAGCGAAAGCCAGGGGAGCAAAGCGGG